ACUUCCAUACCACGGGUAGCCGCGGGAAGCGAGACAGUCUGCAUUCCAAGUUAAAACAAGGUCAGUACCUGAGCGUGUCUUUUCGAUCCUCCGAUCGCUUCUUUUGGAAGGCAAUCCGAGUCUCAGGGGCUACUGCAUAUACAACAGGUGCAUUCGGUCAAUAAUAUUCCAUUGACAAAAUUACAUCACAAACCUCAAAACCCCUUAGAAGGCUCAUGAAGGCCUCAUUCAACCCGCUUUUCGCGGAGAGAACCUUUUCGACCACCGUAACCAUUAAGGCGCGGUGCUCCUUUGAAACGGACGCCUGUCGCAGCAUGUCCGUCAGCGUCUUCGGCACUCCUAGGUCUUCGGACACCGUUGCUGGAGCACGAUAUUCCUUUAAAGGAAUCCGCUUAACUGCCUCCAGAAUCAUCUCCGAUUGUGAGCCGGAUAGUUCGGGGCCACCAUUCUUGACCCCCGAACCCAGAAUGGCAGAGGCACCACCUUCGGGUAACUCCUUCCUCGUUUCCUGUGCUACUUGCCAGUCGGGAGGGGCCCUCCGGGACAACACCUCAAGAUUAUCCGUCCUAUUGGGCGAGGAGGUUGGAGAAGGCGUGUCACUCUCCAUCAUCUCUGGAAGAAGGUCCCCCGAGGAGGAGGACGAUUGAGAAACACCAGGCGUUAACCUGCGAGGACGUGCACAUGUCGAAGAACUACUUCAGUUAUAAGAAAAGAAUGAGGUAUGGUUAAAGUACCUCGCUUCACUUACGGUCUGGCCGGAGGUUCGUCCUCAUCAUCAGGCUCCACAUUGACAUCGCUCGCCUGGCUCAAGCCGACCGAUGAUGGCAUUUUUCCUUUCUUCGAAAGUUUCCCCUCCUGGCCUCCAGAGGCAGCCCGCUUCUUGCCAUGGCAGGCAUCUCCUUUGGGCUCCACGCUCUCACCCCCCUCUGCAGACACCUGGUACGGUGUCGGAAUUAACAUCCGCGUCAGCAGGGUGGACGCGGGAUCUUCGGGAAGGGGCGCCGGACUCCAGAUUAAUACCGCUUUAUUUAUCCAGUCUUGCGUAGGGCGGAGUGCUCAGUAUCUUGUCAAAAGAUGUUGAAAUAAAAGGCAUUGAAUACUUACCGAAGUGUCCGGAUGAUUGCAGUCGAGGCCAACAUCUUCGGUGGUGUCCGGCCAUUGCUCUCGCUCCCCGAAAUAUAAUUUCCACAUUCCUUCAUGCGUCGUGCCAAAGAAGUGCUGAAGGGUCAGCCGCCCUUCUGGAUUGAACUCCCACAUACAGAUAGGCCGCCGCUGACAUGGCAGGAUCCGGUGGACUAGCAUUACUUGAACAAUGUUCACAAGCUUGAUGCCUCUCUCGCUAAGGCUUCGGAUGCGACUUUGCAGAGUCUGCACCUCAUUAACGGAUCCCCAGUUCAAUCCCUUGUUGAUCCAUGAAGCGAGUUGAAUUGGAGGGCCGGGUCGAAAAGUAGGAGUAUCCAUCCACUUGGAGCCCCGCGGCUCGUUGACAUAAAAUCAUCCUUGCUGCCAUAGUUCGGAAGACUCGGAGAAAGAUCCUUCAAACCAAACCGCGUUGGCAAGCUUGCUUAUAGCAACACUGCCGCACUCUGCUUGCUCCUCCUCUGUCACCUGCGGUCUCACAUGAGAAGUCUUGAGCCACAAACCAAAGUGCGGAGGAGUCCGGAGGAAGGCCUCACACGUGACGAUGAAUGUCGAGAUGAGAAGAAUGGCGUCCGGGGCCAGGUCGUGAAAGUCUAGCCCAUAGUAGAACAUGAGCCCCCGGACAAAGGGGCUAAGUGCGAACCCUAACCCAUGAAGGAAGUGGGAUACAAAUACUACCCUCUCGCCAGAUUUGGGGGUGGGAAUAAUCCGCCCCUCGGCAGGAAGCCGAUGAAGGAUUUUUGGGGUCAGGUAACUCACUACGCGGAGCUUCGCAAUAUCCUCCUCCGUGACGGAAGAGGCCACCCACCAGCCUGAACGGCUGGGCCCGGACAUGAUUGGGGCGGCUGGUGAUUGGAACUCGAGGGCUAGAACUCGAGGAGGCUGGGAUUGAGGAAGAAGCAAGUGCAGAAGAGAAAGACAAGUCCAGGUCCCUAUAUAAAGGCCCAGAAUGUUGAGUGUCCCCUCCUGGGUAUCGAAACUUACCUAUCCUCAAAGAGUUGUGCCCAGGGGACGGUUGGGUUACCCAUACCAACAUUAUUGAAAAUCCCGUGAAUAAGGGGACACGAUCUCUGCUUUCACAAGACGUGCCAAUAAAACCGCUUCCCGAGACGUGGGGCGAUAGGAUAGCCAACGGUUGGAAAUAAUAACCAGGCGGGCAUGAUGCAAUGUCGCAACAGUUGUUGACCGAUUGGACUCGUGGAGUAUUGUAUUUUUUGCAAUUAUGUACACAGGUCCGGAUACAAUCAUCACAUCCGAAGACUAUAUCGGAGUUCGGAGGAAGGGGAACCCGCCUUGCAAUGUCGAAGACAAUCUGCGCGCCGGACUCCUUGUCAUUGAAGCCAGGUUCAGGGGCUACUGAGGGAGUCCUGGACUAAGGGGUCCUCGGGCGUCCGGCCUGUUAUCCAUGGGCCGGACUGAUGGUCUAUGAAGACACGAAGACCGAAGACUAUACCCGUGUCCGGAUUGGACUCUACUUGGCGUGGAAGGCAAACUAGGCGAUUGAUUAUGAAGAUUCCCUCUUAUUUAACCGACCUCAUGUAACCCUAGAUCUCUCCGAUGUCUAUAUAAACAGAAGAGCAUAGUCCGGAUAGGACAGAUUCAUUACCAUAUACUCAUAGGCUAGACUUCUAGGGUUUAGCCAUUACGAUCUCGUGGUAGAUCAACUCUUGUAACACUCAUAUUCAUCAAGAUCAAUCAAGCAGGAAGUAGGGUAUUACCUCCAUAGAGAGGGCCCGAACCUGGGUAAACAUCGUGUCCCCCGUCUCCUGUUACCAUCGAUUCUAGACGCAUAGUGCGAGUGGGGAAGGAGGGUUGCGUUUUUCUGUAAGAGUGGAAGAAGAGGAGCAGGCUUUUUCUGUACGAGUGGGGGUUUUCUGUAUGAGUGAGGAACAUGGGGAGCGGGGCGAAAUGGGGGGCAACGGAAGCGGGAGAGUCCGGCGAGCUGCAGUAUAAGUGGAAGCGAGGAGGAAGGAGGGUUUUUCUGGGAUCGCCCCCUCUUCAAGAAAUAUGGGCUUCUCCUCGCAAAAAACAAAAACAAAUGGGCUUUAAGAUGGAUAGGCUUUUGUAUAGGCCCAGUCGUCUACCCGUGUUUCGUACUGGAGGGCCUUAACACUAGAGGCAGCCCAUUAGAGACACUCUCUAACUCUCCAUCUUAUUGCCCAUUCGAAAGAAAAUAAGAGACGCCUCCAGCUUAAUUAUGGCUCCUCAUGGGUAACAUUUUUCAACUUGAAAAAAAGUUAUAGCUCCUUUUCGGGCCAGCUUGGCAUUCACCAAAUUAGAGGAUGGUGUACUGCAUGCAGACACUCACAUUGGUCGUAGCGCGGCAGAAUGAGGGGUCAAAUAACAUGCCCACAAUAUACAUAGAUUAACAGGGAUUGUGGGGGAUUAAAUCAUGUAAAGCCAAAUUCCCCUCCAUUCCUAUCCAAACCCCUUGGGAGGAGGUUGAAUCGAACAAGGCCUAAGACUAAUCACAGUGGGAGUAACUUAAUUCCAUACGGUAUCAUAAUAUGAUACUCAACCCUCUCUUUCGUCAUUUAAUUCUACGCCACCUCAUCAAAUUUGCCUACUAGUUGGCAUGCAUGAUACAACUUAUGAUACUCCCAUUACAACCAGCCAGGUAGAAUUAAUAUACCUAAUCUAAAUGAUCGCUGCCCAAUCUCUUUGUCCUCCUCCAGUAUCCGACAGAAGAAGAAUCGUGCAAGACACCGGCUAUAUUCGUCGGCGUCGCCUCGGCGGUGGCCUUCAUGGGAUACAAUCGGCGGCGGCCUCCCGUGUUCUACUUCUCCUCGAUGAUGGCGGCGGGCGGGGACGUGUUGGCCGUCACCUCAUCGACAUCCGCGAAGCCGCGUAGCCGCGUCAGCUCAUCCACAUCUGCGGCGGCUUCUUUCUCUGCCUGCAUGUCACGGCUACGCGUGCGUCGACGACGGAUGGUGCAGUCGCAAACACUGGAGGCGCUGUAAGACGCGGCUGCAUUGAGGGCAGCGACGAUGCCCAUGCCGCCGUGCUCCCCGACAAGCCGGCGUGGAGCAAGUUGGCACUCUUCCUCGAGUUGUAUUGGAGCGGCCGGAUGCGGAACCACGCGCUGGCUUAGUGCGGCAACUGCCUCCGACGGGCUAAGUGAGGUAGGUGAAGCGGCGAGCUGCCUCGCUCGUAACUGCCGGGCUCGGCGGGCCACCUAGACGGCUUUUAUGCCGGAGAACUGCUCUUCCUGCUUGUCUGAUGCCGCCGAAAGAGUGGACAAAAUGAUGGAAGGAGGAGCUUGGCGGGCGUCCUGCUCCUGAAGAGAUGUGUGUGGCCGAAGUGAGUUUCUCGCAUUCCACGCGGGUUUAAAUGUAGGUUUUUGAAUGUGGCGAGGAGGCGGGUGUCGGUGUCAAAACCGGCGGAUCUCGGGUAGGGGGUACCGAACUGUGCAUCUAAGGUUGAUGGUAACAGGAGACAGGGGACAUGAUGUUUACCCAGGUUCGGGCCCUCUCUAUGGAGGUAACACCCUACUUCCUGCUUGAUUGAUCUUGAUGAAUAUGAGUAUUACAAGAGUUGAUCUACCUCGAGAUCAUAAUGGCUAAAACCCUAGGAGUCUAGCCUGUAUGAUUAUGAUCGCCUCUACGGACUAAGCCCUCCGGUUUAUAUAGACACCGGAGGGGACUAGGGUUGUACAAAGUCGGUUACAGAGAAAGGAAUCUUCGGGCGCCAAGCUUGCCUUCCACGCCAAGGAGAGUCCCCUCCGGACAUGGGAGAGAGUCUUCGGUCUUGUAUCUUCACAGCCCAUCAGUCCGGCCCACGUUCCAUAGCCCGGACGCCCGAGGACCCCUUAAUCCAGGACUCCCUCAGCGGGUACAGCUGGGAGUGUAGCGGGUGGCGCCCUGGGCCGGCGCGCCGCUUCAAAUGGUAGACGCAGUGAGAGGUCGCGUCCGCCCUGACCCCCUUGAUCGUGGACCUUGACGGUGUACAUCACCUUGUGUCCAGAUCUGAGAUGCCAUGUGUACCAGAUGAAUGACUCCAAGUUCGACCACCGUGAUGCUAAGUGCGAGCCGAGGAACACUGUUGGAGAUACCCCCCUCAUAAUUUUCCUAUUCCUGCAUUUUAAGUUCCUACGAAGAGAGUAGUACUUGCUCUAAUUGAUGUGCCGCUGCAAGAGCCGCCUAUAUUAAUUAACCAUGCUCUAAAAAGGUGGACCAGCUUUGGAUAUAGUAGUAUACUGUAUUAGGUUAUUAGGUGACCUUGUGCUUGGCUCUUCGCUUCUUCCAGAAGUCAAACAAUAAUGAUGGUACUACAGUAGUACUACUUCUGGCAAUCUGACACCAAAUGAACUGUUGCACGUCCACCGCUUGUAAGCAAAAGUUUCUCCUCGUGUUGCGAGCCACCACGCACGCGUUGGCGAGGGAGAAGGCGUAGUAAGCAAGCUUCUCGUUGUUCUGCGAGUUGACAUGACACAUCAAAGUUAAUAUUUAGUACUCUCUCCAAAAAGGGCCGACCAUGUCCAUGGCUACCAUCCCGUGCUCCGUCAUUGAGUACAUGCACUAUUCACGUGCCAUCAAGGAGAAAAAAUAUUGCGUAGUACUAGGUGCCAUCGUAGUGCACGACUCACUUAUUCACUUCUUAUCUCCAUUUUCUUGCAUGACAUGUGCACCUUGAUGCUAGAUGUCCCGUGUGUUGGCAAAAGGAUGAACAAAGCUCACGUUAAAAAAAGAGUGGAAGAACAUAGAUUCCCGAUGACCGAGAAGGAGCAAGGAACCUCGCGGUGGAGCAUCUGCACUCAUAAUAUUUUAUAUUAUUCAGUGAUAUAAAAUCAACCAAUCAUCUCCAUAGUAGACCGGAAGAGUACGAAACACGACAGCCCUGUGUAGUUACAUCACACAUGGCCAACCCACGCUAUCACCAUAUUUCUUGGCCUCCGUGUGACACCUAGCUCUAGUAAUCCACCAGCUCGUAUCGCUUCUCGCUCCUCAUCUCUCCAAAGUGUGGCGGGCUGGCGUUUUUGCCAUCUAUUGAGGUCGAUUAACUCAUCACAUGUUAGCGACAUGCCAAGAGCAUUCUUAAAAAAUUAUUGUACUCUAUUGUUAUGCCAAGAAGAGGAAGCGCUUUGACCGACGGACCAAAUGAGACAGGCGUGCCAUGCCGUGAGUGGUUCCAGUUUCUCGUUUUAAACUUGUUUGGUGUAGUAGUAACACUUGGUUUUGACUAUUGAUAAGAUUUUAUAUAGGGCCUAAUGUAUUCCUCGGGGUUGCCUUUGACUAUUGAUAAGAUUUUAUAUAAUUUGAAAAUUAUAUCAUUCGAAGGUCCUUUCACGUUCUGUUUCAAAAAAAGAUCCUUUCACAUACGACUUUGACGGCAUGCUUUGAGCAACUUGCAUGUCCUAUACUGCUCCUGUUUGGAUACUCUAACUUAUCUAGAGGUUAGACUAACUCAUGACUAACCCUGAACUAACUGUAGCCAAAGAGGUGUUUGAAUGACAGGGUUAGAUUGACAAUAAAUGCACUUGAUGGAGAGAGAAAAGUGAUUUUUCAGUGGGCCCCAUGAUAACUAGCUCCAAUUAGCACCACUUGGCUGGCGGGAUAGAGAGAGAAAAGUGAUUUCAGUGGGCCCAAUGAGAACUAUCUCCAAUUAGCACCUCUUGGGUGAGAUAAAUUUUUUUGGUGGGUUUGGUGCAACUUGCUCCAAUUUAACCCUCAUGUUUGGAUACUUUAGGGCUAUUUGAGCCCCAACUACCACAAACUAACCCUAACCCAUGGAUCCAAACAGGGCCAAAUUUAGUCUCAGAAAACGCAUUAAGCCCUAUAUACAUGGACAGACGGAGUACAUGAUACUAGCAAACGCUCACCAUUAGUAGUAGUUCAUUGGUUGGUUUUGAUUUUUGAUUCAGUUGUUGUGUUGCUACCGUCCAAUAUUCACGUGUGGUUGUUUCUAGAAUAAAAAAGGAGGUAGUACUUACUGUGGGAAAGGUGAAGUGAUGGUUGCUUCGCCCGAGCAACUUAUUACUCUGGGAAUAUUGGAGUACCAGCGGAUUCAAUGAACAGAGAAAUGAUGGUUGCUUCGUCCGAGCAACUUACUGUGGCGAAGGUGGGGCUCUGUGAUUUGACUGCUCACUAGUCAUUAUUACUGGGCGCAACGACCGGGUGAAUCUUUCCCUGCAGUUGUGCACUCAAUAUUGCUUCAUGGCAGGUGGAGCCAGAUGAAGGAUGUCCCACAUGUUGGUGAAACAAAGUUGAAUUGUUUCUGGCAUUGCUAUCAAUCCUUCAGGAUUUGUUUAUAUGUACGCAUAAUUUUAAUGAAAUUGUACUGUGAUGCUAUGAAGGUUUCAUCUUUGGUUCCCGCAGGAAAAAAAGAUUUCAACUUAGGAUUCAUGUGUGCUCUUGCCUCAAGAUUAUCUCGUUACAACAUUCCAUCCAAUACAAAUGAAACUACCAUGGCUGAUAAUGCAUCUCAAUGGUUCGCAAAUCAGCGCCAAUAUUCACAUCACAACUGAAGACAAAGUUGUGAGAAGGUGUACAAAAAAGAAAAAUAUAUAAUUGAUCGAUGAUGUUCGUAGGCAUGGCUUCGUUUCCUGGGCACGGUGUUCAUUGGUUCGCAGCUAGUUUCACCCAGCUCUGUAGCCAAAAAAGAGGUGUAUGGAGGACAUCACAAUCCGAUCAUUUUGUGAGGCUCCGCUAAAAUCGAGCUGAUCAUCCGUGUUUGCAAAGAUAUUCAGUCAGUGUGAUUACAAUAAUAGUGGAACUAGAUGAUGAAACAUAACACACACAAAUAGAAGCAGAUCACCUCUGCGAUCUCCCUUUAGGACUAACUACCUGUUGGAGAAGAUUAGGCACGGAGUUGGAUGAGGAGGAUAGCAAAACCAAUCUCCCUUUCUGCAGUCCCACAGAAAUGUAAAACGUUGCCCGUGUGACAUUUUGGCGGAACUGCACAAAACACUCUUAAGAAAAAAGUGAUUUGUGCAGUUCACCAAAAGGUCGCAAUAGCAACGAGGUGAAAUGGAUAGCCUUGUUUGCAAAAGGAGGUAGAAAGGGAACAAUUACUGCCCAAUAACACGAGUUGAAGACACAUACGCCGACAAAAAAGAAGCAUAUUCCAUGUAAUAAGGGAAAGAUAGCAGCCUGGUGGUUUAUCAAAAACGGUUUGAGGAUGAGAUUGCAAGAUGGAAAGUGCGCCGGCCGAGAUACGUUUUAAGCAAACAACUAAAGAAGAUCCACAUGCAGGAUUUUCCACAUGCAGCAACGUGGGAAGAUGGGCAGUGGAGUAAGGCCGGAGGAAGUUGUACCUGAGGGUCGUCGGGAUGUAACUAGGAGGGCGCCGGCGGCCGGGAUCUGCCCAUACUGCGGCAGCGAGCAAGUGGCGAAGGCCCUACCGCGCCGGAGCUUAGUCAGAGAGAACGGCGGGUACCGCAGAUCGGGACGUGCUGCCUCAACGCCGUCGACCGGAGAAACGAUGCACAUCCUCCCUUUUCGCCGGCGGACGAGAUGCCGCCGGAUCAGUGACCAACGGUGAGAGAGAGAGGCCACCGCCGCCUUGUGUGAGAUGGUGUGACUAGUGACAAACCCCGGCAGGCAGGUUCCAUUGUAUAUAGUGGAGCGGAUUUUUCUUUUUUCCCAACGACAAUCGUUUUAUAUUCUGUACGUGCCAUUGAGGAAUAUAACUUUAUUUAAUACUAACACGUCAAGUCAAACUUUGUUCCGUCUACGCGUGGUACACGACCCUCCUUCGAGUAAACAACCGCUACACGCGUCAAAUUAUCACGUGGGCUGCCUUUUCGUACAGAAAUGAACUCCACCGUGUACCCGCGCGGGUGUGGCCGGGAACGAGACGUGAGUACGUGCGUUGUGCGUGCACCUCUUCUUUAGGUGCAGGUACGUACGUGGGUAGGUGUGAGAGAGAUGGUUUGUGCGAAACAGAGGCAAUGUGUCGAUGAUAUCUCAAACAAAGAAACGUAACAUAUGCAAUGUGUGUGAAACAGAGUCAUGGAUAUAUCAUAUAUAGAGGGAACGAUCCACGAGAAGAGAGUGGAGGGAUCAUCGGCGUGAGAUGUCGAUAGAAUCGAAAACAAGGAUGAAGUGUGUGGGUGCGCGAUCGAUAAAGAGUGCCAUCAUGUGUUUGCCCACGUCAAAGAUACAGGGCGGCUGGCCUACUAGAAUUUGAGAGGGCUGAGGUGCAGUUUUUCUCUGUGGCAUGGAUACCUACCUAAAAUGUUCGACUAUCGGUGUAUGUGGGGGGUGGGGGGAGGGGGCAGAGACCUAACUAUGGAGAGGUAGAUCGACUAGUAUAUGUGUGGAGAAGGAGAGAGACCUAGCUAUGUAUUGAGGGAGAUCGACUGGCAUCCAUGCAUAUGUGUAGCAGAGGAAUAAGGUUGGGAGAAAGACAAAGGUAGAGUGUCAGAGGGUUGGUGGUGGAGUUGCUUCUCACAAAUGGUGGGAGAGGCCUGCUAGACAAACGGAGGGUACGGGUGCAAUAUCAAUAAGAGAGGGUCGGGAUGUCUGCCUGUCUAUGCAGGUGCGUGUGAGAGACGGGUCGGGAGGUAUGCAAGGAUGAUGAGGGGAGACGAUAUGGUUGUGGUAAGCAUACGUAACUACAUAGGAAGAUCAAUCGUCGUGUGUCCGAGAAAUGGAGAGACAUAACUAGUGUGGUAAGUCUAUCGGCGCGUGGGGAAAAAGAAUUAUAGUCGACCUAGCUAUAUGUAGGGAGAUCGGUACAUAUACAUGCAUGCAUGUGUUAGAAGCAAAUAAGGUCCAGAGAGACGGACAGGGGGAGAGGGGUGCGGCUAGGAGGUGGUGCCAGAGGCCUACUAUGUCAAAGGGGAGGAGUGUGCGAGUAUGAGAUCGAUGAAAAGAGGGGCAGGAGUGUGCACCUGCGUGGAACCGUAUUGGACAUAGGGGGUAUGGACGGUGAGAAGAGAAGAGGGGAAGUGUGUGUUUGUGGUAGGCACACUUGGCUAGAGAGGUAUAUCGAUUGGUGUGUGCCGGAAAGAAGGAGCCGGGGGGCCUACACACACCGUGGGUGAACAACCUAAAGAGAAAUAACGAAUGUGCGUGAUGGAGGGGACGCUGAGGGAGGGUGAGAGGGGGGCGAGCGUAUGCAUCCAUGAUAGAAAGUUACCGCUAGCUAGCUACAAAGAGAACAGGAUCGUGAAGGUGUAAAAGACGAACAGAGAUCAUAGUUCAUUAUAAAAAAGUGGAUUCGGAUAUUUGAAGAAGAUAUCAUAAUGUAGAACAUUGAUUAUAAUUUGGGAUAAUGUGUGGCUUUUGCAACUCAGUGCUAAAUACUUGUCAUAAUGUAGUGGGCGGGGCACUAAACUUUGUGUGAUAAACAUGGUGUACGUAUGGAACAUGGUUUAGAUUAUGAAUAUCUAGUUAGUACAUCAAAUGUACUAUUAUUUGGAAUCAACAUCAAGUGUAUUCAAAAAAUUGAAUUCGAGUUCAUAUAGUACACAUAGUUCAUAUCUAUCUCUAUAGUAAUCAUGUGGUGUGUUGUUAAGGUAAUGCACGAAUGAUGGUUGAAGUUGGCAACAAUCAUGAUUGUAGAUUCUUAUUCAAAUAGAGAAACAAAUUCAAAUUUAUUUCAACUUGCAGUGGUAGUAUAGACAUUUGGAAUGCAGUAAAAUGUUGGUAUGAGUAGGUUACAUGCAUUAUACAGCCAGCGAAAAAAUUUAAUUGGACAUAACAUGGAUUCAUAGCUUUGAAUAGCAUUUGUAUAGUAAAAUGGGACAAACUCUCUCUUUGUGUGGUGUGAAUAGUUUUAUUUUUUCGUUUCUUCGUUGAGGGAAGUGCCAAUUGAUUUGGUACAUACAAUAUUACACGUUAGGCUUGUCCCUAAAAUUCAACCCGCGCCUUGUUAUAUCCUGAAAAUUCAGAUAUCGUGCUCCCAAAACUCGUGCCUUCACAACCCGUGCAUCGCUACGAGUGAGAAAAUCUCAUCGUAGUCAACACCUUGAACUUGUCAAAAACCUUUUUCGACAAGUCUAGCUUUGUAGAUAGUAACACUGCUAUCAGCGUCUGUCUUCCUCUUGAAGAUCCAUUUAUUCUCUAUGGCUUGCCGAUCAUCGGGCAAGUCAACCAAAGUCCAUACUUUGUUCUCAUACAUGGAUCCUAUCUCAGAUUUCAUGGCCUCAAGCCAUUUUGCGGAAUCUGGGCUCAUCAUUGCUUCCUCAUAGUUCGUAGGUUCAUCAUGGUCUAGUAACAUGAAUUCCAGAACAGGAUUACCGUACCACUCUGGUGCGGAUCAUGCUCUGGUUGACCUACGAGGUUCUGUGAUAACUUGAUCUGAAGUUUCAUGAUCAUUAUCAUUAGCUUCCUCUCUUGUUGGUGUAGGCAUCACAGGAACGGUUUUCUGUGAUGAGAUACUUUCCAAUUCGAGUGAAGGUACAAUUACCUCAUCAAGUUCUAGUUUCCUCCCACUCACUUCUUUCGAGAGAAACUCCUUCUCUAGAAAGGAUCUAUUCUUAGAAACAAAAAUCUUGCCUUCAGAUCUGUGAUAGAAGGUGUACCCAACAGUUUCUUUUGGGUAUCCUAUGAAGACUCACUUCUCCGAUUUGGGUUCGUGCUUAUCAGGCUGAAGCUUUUCACAUAAGCAUCGCAACCCCAAACUUUAAGAAACGACAGCUUAGGUUUCUUGCCAAACCACAGUUCAUACGGUGUCGUCUCAACGGAUUUAGACGGUGCCCUAUUUAACGUGAAUGCAACUGUCUCUAAUGAAUAACCCCAAAACGAUAGUGGUAAAUCGGUAAGAGACAUCAUAGAUCGUACCAUAUCUAAUAAAGUAUGGUUACGACGGUCGGACACACCAUUACGCUGUGGUGUUCCAGGUGGCAUGAGUUGUGAAACUAUUCCACAUUGUUUUAACUGAAAGCCAAACUCGUAACUCAAAUAUUCACCUCCGCGAUCAGAUCGUAGAAACUUUAUUUUCUUGUUACGAUGAUUCUCCACUUCACUCUGAAAUUCUUUGAACUAGUUGUUGUUGAUUACGUUACUAAGUGGGUAGAAUCUAUUUCAACUAGUAGUGCUGAUCAUAACACCUCUAUUAAGAUGCUUAAAGAAGUUAUUUUUCUGAGGUUUGGAGUCCCUAGAUAUUUAACGACUGAUGGUGGUUCACAUUUUAUUCAUGGUGCUUUUCGUAAAAUGCUUGCUAAGUAUGAUGUUAAUCAUAGAAUUGCAUCUCCUUAUCACCCACAGUCUAGUGGUCAAGUAGAAUUGAGUAACAGAGAGCUCAAAUUAAUUCUGCAAAAGACUGUUAAUAGAUCUAGAAAGAAUUGGUCCAAGAAACUUGAUGAUGCAUUAUGGGCCUAUAGAACUGCAUAUAAAAAUCCUAUGGGUAUGUCUCCGUAUAAAAUGGUUUAUGGAAAAGCAUGUCACUUACCUCUCGAAUUAGAACAUAAGGCAUAUUGGGACAUUAAAGAGCUCAUUAUGAUUUCAAACUUGCCGGUGAGAAGAGGUUAUUUGACAUUAGCUCACUUGAUGAAUGGAGAACCCAGGCCUAUGAGAAUGCCAAGUUGUUUAAAGAAAAAGUUAAAAGAUGGCAUGACAAAAGGAUACAAAAGCGUGAGUUUAAUGUAGGUGAUUAUGUGUUACUAUUCAACUCCCGUUUAAGAUUUUUUGCAGGAAAACUUCUCUCUAAAUGGGAAGGUCCUUACGUUAUAGAGGAGGUCUAUCGUUCCGGUGCCAUAAAAAUCAACAACUUCGAAGGCACAAAUCCAAAGGUGGUGAACGGUCAAAAUAAUCAAACAUUAUAUCUCAGGUAAUCCCAUAAAUAUUGAAACCAAUAUUAUUGAAACUGUAACCCCAGAGGAAUACAUAAGAGACACUUUCUAGAACGCUUCAGACUCUGAAAAGGAAUAGGUACGUGGUACGGUAAGUAAACCGACUCCAAAACAGUUCUAAUGGCAUUUUUUCUCCGUUUUGGAAUAUUUAGAAAAUUAGGAAAAUAAGAAGCAGUCCGGGAAGGACACGAGGCUUCCAAGAGGGUGGGAGGCGCGCCCCCCUACCUCAUGGGCACCUCGUGCACUCUCCGGACUCCGUUUUCUUGCACGAUACUUCUUUUGGUCAGUAAAAAUUCACUAUAUAAUCUCCCGAAGGUUUUGACCACCGUAUCACGCAAAUAUCCUCUGUUUUCGUUUUGAGCUGUUUUUCUGACAGAUCUAGAUCACCAUGACGUCUCCAAGCGCCCCCAAGGACAAGUUCUUCAAGAAGGUCAUCAACCCCUACCUCACGGAGGUGCUGCAACACCAUCAAACCAUUGAGAUGCGUGAUGGGUUGCUGCACAUCCACGAUGUUGAGGGACCAAGGAGGACCGGAAGCGUGGAGACGAGGCUCGAAGCAAUGGAACAAAUUUUCAAGUGCCAGGGGAUGGUGGAACGUGGACUCAACGCCAACCACAUGAUGAUCGCGGAAUUCACCAACAACCACAAGCUGGAUGCCAAUAACAUUGGGGAAACCAUCUUCAAGCUUCACGAGAAGAUCAAGCAUCUCGAAGCCCAAAUCUAUGACCUGCAAAACCAAAACUGUGAGUAUGAAUAUAGAUUCAAGAGGAUGAGUUUGGCUGCAGAUUUGAGGAUCCCGGAGACUCGAUCAUCCUUCUAUGAUGGUGAGCCUAUGCCUUGGAAGAUGGACGACAAGCCCACAUCAUCAACAACUCCACCAUCUUCUUCACCAGCAAAGGAGAUAUAAUCACAUGGGUAUGGGCACUCCCCUUGGCAACUGCCAAGCUUGGGGGAGGUGCCCCGGUAUCGUAUCACCAUCACACUCCUAUCUUUACUGUUUUUCUUAGUUCGAUCCUUUUAGUAAUAUCUUGAUCUAGUAGAAUAAAGUUUUAGUAUGAUUUAACUUUGAGUUUUGAGUUUUGCUAUAUGAUCCUUCUAUGUAAUCGAGUCCGUGAGCUAUAUAUAAUAAAGAUUAGUGUUGAGUCAAGGGCUUGAUUAUUUUGCUAUGAUCUUGAGGGAAUUAUAGAGAAAGAAUAAAAAUAAAUAAAGAUAUCAUAUUGAUCUUAUGGAGAGUAAUGACUUCAAAUAUAAAGAGUAUGAUGAUUAAAAGUUGUUGAGAGUUGACAAACAUAGUUUUGGUCAUGUUGCAAUUGAUAGGAAGUAAUAAAGAAAGAGAGGUUUCACAUAUAAAUAUACUAUCUUGGACAUCUUUUAUGAUUGUGAGCACUCAUUAAAAUAUGACAUGCUAAAGAGUUGAUGCUGGACAAGGAAGACAACGUAAUGGGUUAUGUUUUCUUACAUCUGAAAUAAAGUAUAUUGUCAUGGAUCAUCCAACAUGUUGAUCUUGCCUUUCUCCCUCAUGCUAGCCAAAUUCUUUGCACCAAGUAGAAAUACUACUUGUGCUUCCAAAUACCCUUAAACCCAGUUUUGCCAUGAGAGUACACCAUAUCUACCUAUGGAUUGAGUAAGAUCCUUCAAGUAAGUUGUCAUUGAUGCAAGCAAUAAAAAUUGCUCUCUAAAUAUGUAUGAUUGAUUAGUGUGGAGGAAAUAAGCUUUAUACGAUCUUGUGAUGUGGAAGAAAUAAAAGCGACGGACUGCAUAAUAAAGGUCCAUAUCACAAGUGGCAAUAUAAAGUGACGUUCUUUUGCAUUAAGAUUUCGUGCAUCCAACCAUGAAAGCGCAUGACAACCUCUACUUCCCUCUGCGAAGGGCCUAUCUUUUACUUUUAUCUCUUACCCUUAUGCAAGAGUCAUGGUGAUCUUCACCUUUCCUUUUUACAUUUUAUCCUUUGGCAAACACAUUGUGUUGGAAAGAUCCUGAUAUAUAUAUCUAAUUGGAUGUAAGUUAGCAUGAACUAUUAUUGUUGACAUUACCCUUGAGGUAAAAGGUUGGGAGGCGAAACUUUAAGCCCCUAUCUUUCUCUAUGUUCGAUUAAAACUCCAUACCCAUAAGUAUUGCGUGAGUGUUAGCAAUUGUGAAAGACUAAAUGAUAGUUGAGUAUGUGGACUUGCUGAAAAGCUCUUAUAUUGACUCUUUCUGAUGUUAUGAUAAAUUGCAAUUGCCUCAAUGACUGAGAUUAUAGUUUGUUAGUUCUCAAUGAAGUUUCUGAUUCAUACUUGACAUUGUGAAUAGAUUAUUACUUGAGCAUAAGAAAUCAUAUGACAAUAUCCAUAUAUAUUGCUGUUAUAAGAAUGAUCAUGAUGCCCUCAUGUCCGUAUUUUAUUUUAUCGACACCUCUACCUCUAAACAUGUGGACAUAGUUAUCGUUAUCGGCUUCCGCUUGAGGACAAGCAAGGUCUAAGCUUGGGGGAGUUGAUACGUCCAUUUUGCAUCAUGCUUUUAUAUCGUUAUUUAUUGCAUUAUGGGCUGUUAUUACACAUUAUGUCACAAUACUUAUGCCUAUUCUCUCUUAUUUUACAAGGUUUACAUAAAGAGGGAGAAUGCCGGCAGCUGGAACUCUGGGCUGGAAAAGGAGCAAAUAUUAGAGACCUAUUCUGCACAACUCCAAAAGUCCUGAAACUCCACGGAAGUUAUAUUUGAAAAUAAUAAAAAAUACUGAGUGAAGAAAAUACCAGAGGGGGCCCACACCCUGGCCACGAGGGUGGGGGUGCGCCCUACCCCCCUGGGCGCCCCCUGCCUCGUGGGCCCCCUGGUGGCCCUCCGGUGUCCAUCUUAUGCUAUAUGAAGUCUUCCGUCCGAGAAAAAAUCAUAAGCAAGCUUUCGGGACGAAACUCCACCGCCACGAGGCAGAACCUUGGCGGAACCAAUCUAGGGCUCCGGCGGAGCUGUUCUGCCGGGGAAACUCCCUCCGGGAGGGGGAAAUCAUCGCCAUCGUCAUCACCAACGCUCCUCUCAUCGGGAGGGGGCCAAUCUCCAUCAACAUCUUCACCAGCACCAUCUCCUCUCAAACCCUAGUUCAUCUCUUGUAUUCAAUCUUUGUCCCAAAGCCUCAGAUUGGUACCUGUGGGUUGCUAGUAGUGUUGAUUACUCCUUGUAGUUGAUGCUAGUUGGUUUAUUUGGUGGAAGAUCAUAUGUUCAGAUCCAUUAUGCAUAUUAAUACCCCUCUGAUUAUGAACAUGAAUAUGAUAUGUGAGUAGUUACGUUUGUUCCUGAGGACAUGGGAGAAGUCUUACUAUUAGUAGUCAUGUGAAUUUGGUAUUCGUUCGAUAUUUUGAUGAGAUGUAUGUUGUCUCUCCUCUAGUGGUAUUAUGUGAACAUCGACUACAUGACACUUCACCAUUGUUUGGACCUAGAGGAAGGCAUUGGGAAGCAAUAAGUAGAUGAUGGGUUGCUAGAGUGACAGAAGCUUAAACCCUAGUUUAUGCGUUGCUUCGUAAGGGGCUGAUUUGGAUCCAUAUGUUUCAUGCUAUGGUUAGGUUUACCUUAAUACUUCUUUUGUAGUUGCGGAUGCUUGCAAUAGGGGUUAAUCAUAAUGCUUGUCCAAGUAAGGACAGCACCCAAGCACCGGUCCACCCACAUAUCAAAUUAUCAAAGUACCGAACGCGAAUCAUAUGAACGUGAUGAAAACUAGCUUGACGAUAAUUCCCAUGCGUCCUCGGGAGCGUUUUCCUUCAUAUAAGAAAUUGUCCAGGCUUGUCCUUUGCUACAAAAAGGAUUGGGCCAUCUUGCUGCACUUUAUUUACACUUGUUACUUGUUACCCGUUACAAAUUACCUUAUCACAAACUAUCUGUUACAGAUAAUUUCAGUGCUUGCAGAGAAUACCUUGCUGAAAACCGCUUAUCAUUUCCUUCUGCUCCUCGUUGGGUUCGACACUCUUACUUAUCAAAAGGACUAUGAUAGAUCCCUUAUACUUGUGGGUCAUCACCGUCCCCGUUCAUGUCACCUCCUGGGGCCAUUGGUGCUUGGCCUUCUCACGCGAUAACCUCAGGAGAUUCGUUCGGCGCAGGUUGUCUGACCACCUCGCAGGACCAACACAGCGAACAAGAACCAAGACCAGGUGCAACCCGCCUUGAGGUAGGUCCUCGUGAGUCCCGCGCUGGCUCACGAGUGCCCAGACACACCUCGUCUAGCCCUGUCGUGCAAGCCACGUGUCAGGGCGGGGUUGUACAUGCCCCGGGGGCUCUCUGCAGUAGGGAGUCCCCUCCCACGUACCAGUGGAAGCACCAUGCUCCGUGCUGGCCGUCGACACUGCCGAGGAGCGGCUAUGCCCGUGCAAGUGCGGAAGCGCUAUGCUCCGCGCUGGUGAUAAACAACUGAGGGCGGCCCCACGGCCGCAUCAACAUCAGGGAGCCCCUGAGCUCAGUGUCCGGCCUCACCGCAACACCUCCCCUCGGGAGAGUCGCGCGAGGGGGCUGGGCACGGGGGCUGCGCUUGGGUCACGCCCAAGCGUACGCCACCCAACCAGAUCCCCCAGACCUGGUCGUCGCGCGCCCCUCCCGAGCCGAGCCUCGGCGAGGGCAAAGGUAUGAAGGUUUUUUGCACGUCAAGGGGGACUACUGAGCAUCGUGACUCAGCAGCCUAACUGGUCACGUAGCCCCUCACUCCUUGGGUCCGUCCUGGUCUCCGUUCAGCCCAACGGCGGUUGAGCUAUGCGCGGGGCCGGGCUCUGCCGACGUAGAACACUAAACCUAUCCUCGCGUCUCCUUUCUAUAAGUUGUUUGUGCGUCAAGGGGGACUCCUGAGCAUCGCGACUCAGGAGCCUAAUUGGUCACGUAGCCCCUCACUCAUUGGUUCCGUCCUGGUCUCCGGUCGGCCGAAUGGCGGUUGAGGUAUGCGCGGGGCCGGGCUCUGCCGACGUAGAAUGUAAAGCAAAUAGGAAGAAAAUCGCAAAAUCUCAAAGCAAAUAUUACAAGACAUAUUGUUCUCCCAAAUAUCAAGCACAAGUCUAAACGCCCCCACGGGGUACCUCUCGAUUCUUCGCAGGAAACAAAAGGGGAAAGCUUCAAGGAGUCCUAUCUACACGCGCCCCUGUGGUUGACACCAUCAUCGACAGUGGGCCACCAGAGGCCGGCGCCAACCUCAUCCAGAUCAACGGCGGCGGCGGCCGGACACUGCAGCCCUGCUCCGGGCUCGGCGAGAGCUUGGGGGCACGUAGCUGUCGUCGCUCGUCUCCAGAGUCUCUUAGAGCUCGGGAGAAUCGCUGGACUCCCAAGCGUCGCUGCGGCUUCCAGAGGAGCCGAUGGCGACACGGACAGCAGGCCCUGCCCCUGUUGCGGUGUCAAACUGAUGACCCCUCCCGGAGCAACACUCCAGGCGGCGGCCUUCUGCGUCGAAGACCUUGAAGAACAGCGUGGAGGCGCCGUCAUACUCGAAGUGGAUCGCGAGGGCGCCCUCCGCACGGCACACUCGGGCGACCUCACCCCAGCCUCGGGUCAUGAAGAUCUUGGCCGAGGAGACGGCUUCAACCUCCGCUCCAGUCGCCGGCGCGUCGUAGUUGGCGUGCUGCAGCCAAAGCUCGAGGGGUCCCCUCGGCGGCAUCACGUCAGAGAAGAACCGCGGGAAGCGAAUCCAGGAGCGUGGAGGCAUCACCGCCCACAGCACCAGUUCACGCGAGGAGUCCGCGGCAUGGACUCCUCGGGCGACGGAGUGCGUCACCGUGGCCUCGCUGUCGCGACCACGGCGAGGUCGACGCCGCUCGCCGCUUCUUCCACCUAAGCCCUCGGCUUGGGUGUACAAGGGCAACGGGUACCCAGGAGGAGGCCGCUCGCACCAAGGCCUUGCCACCUCUUGCAUCACCACCACGUCACGGCGGUGGACCGGCCUCUUCUUCAGCGGAAGCGGCCCUGGCUUGUCGCGGGGAGUCUUCCCUUUCUUCGCAGCAGAAAACCUUCGGAUGGGCGCCAUUGGCGUCGCUACUAGCAAUGGAGCAAGGGGGAAGAAGCGAGCGGAAUGGGAAGAGAUGGGCAACGGGGGCUCUGCCCCCCUACCCAUUUAUAAUAGGAGAAGGCCAACCAGCGCCCCCCACGAUCACAGGUAAUGAUGAUUUUUCCUUGCAUGUCGCAGGGACUUGUCAAGUCGGGAAGUUACCGAGGCAGCGUGGGGGAGCGGAGACACCCACGUCCAGUCAACCACCACGCGUCGACUAAGGCCGCAGGCUGUGGGGGCCCGCGGCGCUCCGCACUUGCCCUUUGGCUUUGCCUCGAAGCCAAGUCCGAGCGUGCCUUGGGCCCGGGGGCUACUGUCAGUGUUCUGGGAACGGGGGUCCCCAGACUUGCCUGCCUGCGGCCCACGGCGUGGCGCUGCUAGCGGGCCUGUACGGCCCAUCUUCACCAACAAACAUUCCAGACCCUCGCGAGGGGCCAAGCCUCGCGAGGCGGACGACAUAAGACCUCCUCGGGAGCGGCCUCACCAGGCUGGCUCGCGAGGGGCUGAGAGAUCAAGGCAAGGCAAACCUUGCGAGGUUCUUGUGACGUGAGCCAUGACGAUCGAGACCAGGCGGGCGCCAGCGCGUGCAGUGUCCUUGUUUCCGCUUUGGUGCUAAGGAGGCAAGCGCAGGCGAGGAGUUCCGAGGCAUCAGGGAAAGGUUUCCAUAUCGAUGCAACGAGACCAAGGCCAGCAGGACGGCCGGACGGAGGUCACCAUGGAGCCUAAGACGACGUCACCACCAGAGCCUUUGGCAGGCGAAGACUACUUUUGUCAGGAUAAGCUAUACUAGGUGUCCCCUUUCAAAUUGGCCGUUGUGGGAUCCCUUCCUGCUCAAUAUUUGGGAAGAGGACCGGGGCCUCUAUAAAUAGGACUAGCCACCACCAUAGGAGAAAAACGGAUUCAGAUCAUCCUCACCCACACAAGUUCACCAAGCACAAGAACACCUCUCCUCAGGAGGCUGUUCUUCCCCUUGUACUGUUCAUCCUCAGCCCUGGAGGCAAUCCACCACCACACACUGGAGUAGGGUAUUACACCACAACGGUGGCCCGAACCAGUAUAAAUCUUGUGUCCCUUGUGUUGCGAGUUCGUCGAGCUAGCCUAGAGAUCGCGGAGUGUGUGAGGGCGUGAUCUGUGAGGGAGAGAUCUUCGCGCGCACCCCAGAGUUUGAACCUUAAGGGUUUUGCCGGAACCCGAGAUCCGACACACUAUCAUUAUCAUCUUUGCAUAUUUUCGCAUCAAUAUUAUGAAUACGUGUAUCACUACGAUCGAGAUUCAAUAAACCAUUCACAUUGGGUGUAUGACCAUUGAAGGUUUUAUUCAUGUAAACAGAAUAACAAUUAUUCUCUGACUUAAAUGAAUAACCGUAUUGCAAUAAACAUGAUCUAAUCAUAUUCAUGCUCAACGCAAACACCAAAUAACAUUUAUUGAGGUUCAACACUAAUCCCGAAGGUAGAGGGAGUGUGCGAUGGUGAUCGUAUCAACCUUGGAAUCACUUCCAACAGACAUUGCCACUUCGCCCAUAACUAGUCUCUGUUCAUUCUGCAACUCAUGUUUUGAGUUACUAAUCUUAGCAACUGAACCGGUAUCAAAUACCCAGGGGUUACUAUGAACACUAGUAAAGUACACAUCAAUAACAUGUAUAUCACAUAUACCUUUGUUCACUUUGCCAUCUUUCUUAUUCGCAAAGUAUUUGGUGUAGUUCCGCUUCCAGUGAACAUUUCCUUUGUAGUAGAAGCACUCAGUUUCAGGCUUGGGUUCAGCUUUGGGUUUCUUCACGGGAGUGGCAACUUGCUUGCCAUUCUUCUUGAAGUUCCCUUUAUUUCCCUUUACCCUUUUUCUUGGAACUAGUGGUCUUGUUAACCAUCAACACUUGAUGCUCUUUCUUGAUUUCUACCUUCACUGAUUUCAACAUCGUGAAGAGCUCGGGAAUCGUUUUCGUCAUCCCUUGCAUAUUAUAGUUCAUCACGAAGUUCUAGUAACUUGGUGAUAGUGACUAGAGAACUCUGUCAAUCACUAUCUUAUCUGGAAGAUUAACUCCCACUUGAUUCAAGCGAUUGUAGUACUCAGACUUAUGAGCACAUGCUCACUGGUUGAGUUAUUCUCCUCCAUCUUGUAGCCAAAGUACUUGUCAGAGGUCUCAUACGUCUCGACACGGGCAUGAGACUGAAAUACCAAUUUCAUCUCUUGGAACAUCUCAUAUGCUCCGUGGCGUUCAAAACGUUUUUGAAGUCCCGGUUCUAAGCCGUAAAGCAUGGUGCACUAAACUAUCAAGUAGUCAUCAUACCGAGCUUUGUCAAACGUUCAUAACGUCUGCAUCUGCUCCUGCAAUAGGUCUGUCACCUAGCGGUGCAUCAAGGACAUAAUUCUUCUAUGCAGCAAUGAGAAUAAUCCUCAGAUCACGGACCAAAUCCGCAUCAUUGCUACUAUCAUCUUUCAACUUAUUUUUCUCUAGGAACAAUUCAAAAAUAAAUGGGGAGCUACAUCGCGAGCUAUUGAUCUACAACAUAAUUUGCAAAUACUAUCAAGACUAAGUUCAUGAUAAAUUAAAGUUUAGUUAAUCAUAUUACUUAAGAACUCCCACUUAGAUAGACAUCCCUCAAUUCAUUCUAAAUGAUCACGUGAUCCAUAUCAACUAAACCAUGUCCGAUCAUCACGUGAGAUGGAGUAGUUUUCAAUGGUGAACAUCUCUAUGUUGAUCAUAUCUACUAUAUGAUUCACGUUCGACCUUUCGGUCUCCAGUGUUCCGAGGCCAUGUCUGUACAUGCUAGGCUCGUCAAGUUUAACCCGAGUAUUCUGCAUGUGCAAAACUGUCUUGCACCCGUUGUAUGUGAACGUAGCGCUUAUCACACCCGAUCAUCACGUGGUGUCUCGGCACGACGAACUGUCACAACGGUGCAUACUCAGGGAGAACACUUAUACCUUGAAAUUUUAGUGAGGGAUCAUCUUAUAAUGCUACUGCCGUACUAAGAAAAAUAAGUGCAUAAAAGAUAAACAUCAAAUGCAAUCAAAAUAUGUGACAUGAUAUGGCCAUCAUCAUCUUGUGCCUUUGAUCUACAUCUCCAAAGCACCGUCAUGAUUUCCAUCGUCACCGGCUUGACACCUUGAUCUCCAUCGUAGCGUCUUUGUCGUCUCACCAACUAUUGCUUCUACAACUAUCGCUAACGCAUAGUGAUAAAGUAAAGCAAUUACAUGGCGUUUGCAUUUCAUACAAUAAAGCGACAACCAUAAGGCUCCUGCCAGUUGCCGAUAACUUUUACAAAACAUGAUCAUCUCAUACAAUAACGUAUAUCACAUCAUGUCUUGACCAUAUCACAUCACAACAUGCCCUGCAAAAACAAGUUAGACGUCCUCUACUUUGUUGUUGCAAGUUUUACGUGGCUGCUACGGGCUUCUAGUAAGAACCGUUCUUACCUACGCAUCAAAACCACAACGGUGUUUCGUCAAGUUUGUUGUUUUAACCUUCAACAAGGACCGGCUGUAGUCAAAUUUGAUUCACCUAAAAUUGGAGAAACAGACAACCGCCAUCCACCUUUAUGCAAAACAAGUUGCAUGUCUGUCGGUGGAACCGGCCUCAUGAACGUGGUCAUGUAAGGUUGGUCCGGGCCGCUUCAUCCAACAAUAUCGCCGAAUCAAAAUAAGACGUUGGUGGUAAGCAGUAUGACUAUCACCGCCCACAACUCUUUGUGUUCUACUCGUGCAUAUCAUCUACGCAUAGGCCUGGCUCUGAUACCACUGUUGGGGAACGUAGCAUGUAAUUUCAAAAUUUUCCUACGAUCACGCAAGAUCUAUCUAGGAGAUGCAUAGCAACGAGAGGGGGAGAGUGUGUCCACGUACCCUCGUAGACCGAAAGCGGAAGCGUUAAGUUAACGCGGUUGAUGUAGUCAAACGUCUUCGCGAUCCAACCGAUCAAGUACCGAACGUACGGCACCUCCGAGUUUAGCACACAUUCAGCUCGAUGACGUCCCUGAACUCUUGAUCCAGCAGAAGGUUGAGGGAGAGUUUCGUCAGCACGACGGUGUGGUGAUGUGAUCCGCGCAGGGCUUCGCCUAAGCACUACGUGAAUAUGACUGGAGUAGUAAACCGUGGAGAGAGACGCCGCACACGGCUUGGAACAAUUGGUAUGUCUCCAAGGGGUGCCCUGCCCACGUAUAUAAAGGAGGGAGAGGGAGGAGGCCGGCCCUAGGGGGUGCGCCAUGAGGGGAGAGUCCUACUAGGACUCCCAGUCCUAGUAGGAUUCAGCCCCCCAUCUUAUUCCUUCUCAUGGAGGGGAAAAGGGGGAAGGAGAGGGAGAGGGGGAAAGGAAAGGGGGCCGCGUCCCCUUCCCCUUGUCCAAUUCAGACAGCCCAUGGGGGGGCACGCCAUCCCUUGUGGGCUCCCUCUCUCUCCCCUAUGGCCCAUGUUGGCCCAUUACUUCCUCGGGGGGUUCCGGUAACCCUCGGUACUCCGAUAAAUAUCCGAAACGUCCUGAAACCAUUUCGGUGUCCAAAUACUAUCAUCCAAUAUAUCAAUCUUUACCUCUCAACCAUUUCGAGACUCCUCGUCAUGUCCGUGAUCUCAUCCGGGACUCCGAACAAUUCUUCGGUCACCAAAACACAUAACUCAUAAUACAAAUCGGCAUCGGAUGUUAAGCGUGCGGACCCUAUGAGUUCGAGAACUAUGUAGACAUGACCGACACAUAUCUCCGAUCAAUAACCAACAGCGGAACCUAGAUGAUCAAUAACCCAUAUCUUUGUCGUGGGUUGCCCGGAACCCCUUCCGGUGACCCGGUAUCACCCGGAACACUUCCGGUGUCCAAAUACCAUCGUCCUAUAUAUGAAUCUUUACCUCUCGACCAUUUAGAGACUCCUGGUCAUGUCCGUGAUCUCAUCCGGGACUCCGAACAAACUUCGGUCAUCAAAUCACAUAACUCAUAAUACAAAUCUUCAUCGAACGUUAAGCGUGCGGACCCUACGGGUUCGAGAACUAUGUAGACAUGACCGAGACAUAUCUCCGAUCAAUAACCAACAGCGGAACCUAGAUGCUCAUAUUGGUUCCUACACAUUCUACGAAGAUCUUAUCGGUCAAACCGCAAUAACAACAUACGUCAUUCCCUUUGUCAUCGGUAUGUUACUUGCCCGAGAUUCGAUCGUCGGUAUCCUCAUACCUAGUUCAAUCUCGUUACCGGCAAGUCUCUUUACUCGUUCCGUAAUGCAUCAUUUCGUAACUAACUCAUUAGUUAUAUUGCUUGCAAGGCUUAUUAUGAUGUGCAUUACCGAGAGGGCCCAGAGAUACCUCUCCGAUACUCGGAGUGACAAAUCUUAAUCUCGAUCUAUGCCAACCCAACAAAUACCUUCGGAGAUACCCAUAGAGCAUCUUUAUAAUCACCCAGUUACGUUGUGACGUUUGAUAGCACACAAGUUAUUCCUCCGGUAUCCGGAAGUUGCAUAAUCUCAUAGUCAAAGGAAUAUGUACAAGUCAUGAAGAAAGCAAUAGCAAUAAAACUUAACGAUCAUUACGAUAAGCUAACGGAUGGGUCUUUUCCAUCACAUCAUUCUCCUAAUGAUGUGAACCCAUUCGUCAAAUGACAAUACAUGUCUAUGGUUAGGAAACUUAACCAUCUUUGAUUAACGAGCUAGUCUAGUACAGGCUUACUAGGGUCACUGUGUUUUGUCUAUGUAUCCACACAUGUAUCAAGUUUUCGGUUAAUACAAUUCUAGGAUGAAUAAUAAACAUUUAUCGUGAUAUAAGGAAAUAUAAAAUAACAACUUUAUUAUUGCCUCUAGGGCAUAUUUCCUUCAGAAACUACAUCUUGUAGAUCCUGUCCAGUUGUGUUUUGCCAAAUUGUCCUUAGUUAGAAUGACUUGUUUAUGGACAAACUACAUAAACACUUUGAUUUUUAAAGGCACUUUGACUUUCCAAACAUGUUUCGAACGAGGAAUAGAGCUAGAGUUGAUGACAUCCGAAUACAUGGAUUUAACCGAAAACUCUCCAUUCUUUGUUAGUUUCCGGCGCAACUGAUCGGGCUGUUGAGAUAGGUGAACAUCCAUCAAUCUUCUCACAAGAUGGAUGCAAGCUUCCCAGCGGUUUCCCGCUAGCAUCCUCCUCAAUUGAAUAUUAAGAGGAUUGGACUGUAAUACUGUUGCAACGUAAGCGUCUCUUUGCUGAGCAAUAUUAUAUAGAGAAGGAUAUUGGAGUGUAGGGGGCGUCUCCCCUAGCCAUGUAUCCUCCCAAAAUCUCGUGGUAGUACCAUUUCCAACUACAAAUUUUGUCUUAUUAAAAAAACUGAUUUCACUCUCAUCAGUCAUUUCCAAAAAGGCGAAUCAGUCAGCCUUACCGUCACCUGGGAUAGUGUUUUGGAUUGAAGGUAUUUAUUCCGCAGAAUCUGGGCCCACGUGGCAUCCGUCUAUACAGAUAGCUUAUACAGCCACUUGCUGAGUAGACAUCUGUUCUUCACCUCUAAAUUUUCAAUGCCGAGCCCCCCUUGUUCUUUCGGUCUACAAAUGAUAUCUCAUUUAGCGAGUCUGUAUUUUCGUUUUUAAAUCAUCGCUCUGCCAAAAGAACCGCGAUCGAUAGAAAUCUAGCCUUUUUCAAACUCCAACUGGUACCUCAAAAAAUAACAAGAGAAACGUAGGCAUACUCGUGAGUACCGAAUUAAUGAGAAUUAGUCGGCCUUUGUAUGACAUAAGCUUGCCAUUCCAGCAGCUUAGCUGACAUUAAUGACACGCAGAUUCCCGAGAGAAGAGUUGUCUGCUCCGGCCAUGUGUCUGGAGGGGUCUGCGUUGUGCGAGGUAACGCGUCGCCGCGGGCAACCGGCGGACCGGGCAAGUCAACGGAGGCCCCUUGGCUCCCUUGAUCAGUCGCUGCUCCCGAAAUGCUCUCGAACGUUCAGCAGCGGCUAGCUCGUGGAUCGGUCAUUCCCGUCGCUAAAGAAAGGAAGUCGCAUCUAGGCCAAGUUGCAGGAUUGCAACGCAGAAAAGGGAUGGAUGGACCAUUUCACUUGGUGCAAAGACAGCCAGAGAGACAGAAAGAGCCGUCGGCGUCGCCGGCUACGAACGAGCCCGCCCACUUUGAGUAACGAUUCUUCUCGUCGUGAAACAGUGCAAUCGGCUGGCUGCUACUCCUUUUAGCAAGCGAGUCCCAGUGCGCGCAUAAAGGGGAUGGAGGAAGAAACAUCCUUGUGCUAAUCCUGUCGUACUUACUCCAAGUUUUUAUACGUCUCGAUGUCUAGACGUGCCAUGCAGGCAGGCUAGCUGGCGAUCACAGAAGCUUCACGGAUGGUGGUAGUAAUAAUUAAGAGGACGGCGGGCAGAAGUUUUUGUAUGCAUGGCCACGCGCAUGCUUUAUGUUCCUUCCAGCUUACCGGGAGGGAUCGGGAUGAGCAGACGGGUGAUUGCAACCGGCAACCGGACGACCGAGAUCACGAGCCACUCGGCCCUCAACGGGAAGCACGCACGACGAGGGGAUGACUGACUGGACACCCAAACCAAACCUAACAGCCGCAGUAGUGGCGAUCGGCCAGCCAUCGAUAACGUGGACCGACCGAACCGUACCUGUCAUUCAACGCAAGGCGGGCAGGCACACUUAGUUAUCCAUAUCUUCCAAUUGUCCAUCGCUCUCGUGAUGCAAAAUUUGCGCGUGGGCGUCCGUCCCAAAAAUUAAUGGGGCCGAGCGGAGCGGAGCGCGGCGCGUGCAGCCCGGGCCCCCGCGUGCGCGCACUAGGCUAGACCAGUAAGUAGGCAACUACACUAGAGAGAGCAGCGCGCGGCGGCAACAGCGGUGGAGCGCGGCGAGCACGACCACCGGCUUCCCGAGGGAGGGCCGAUCCCUCUCGCGUCCUUGUCGUGGCCAAAAGACCCUCCUCCACUCCACCGUCGCUUUGCCACUUAUCCCCGCGCCGAUUGGAGCCCCACGCGAUACCCCGGACGGGUUCAGAGAUCUGACGCAUAUGGCCGAGAUUUUGUGCCACGGCUCUCUCUCUCUCUCUGCCCUUUGACAUUUACACAAGGUCAGAUCCAGAAUAACCGACGCCUGACGCGCCCAAGUGGCUGGUCAAGCGCAGCCAAUAAUAUAGGAUCGGCAUAAAGAGUCAAGCAAGCGCAAAGUUAAUUCGCGGCUUCCAUAUUCCCCUGCGGCCCCUUUAAUGACGCCACAGAGUUCCAUCCAAAGAUUCCACCCUUUUUCUUGUACUACCUCCUCUCUCCCUUUUGACAUUUGGAGCAAAGUCAAAGAAAACAAUAGGGAGGAGAAGCCAAGGCCCUUUUGACAAGUGCGUAGCAUAGAGCCCCGCCCCAGUAUACAAUACAAUGCGGAGUGGCUGAUCAUUUCAAAUCCGGACGCGAUCUUCUCUCUUAUCCCCUGCGCUGCUGCGAAGCGCGCGCCGUGCCCACCACUUGCCUUUGACUUUACAGGGAUCGAGUCAUCCUCCUCGUGCCACUCCAGGGUACGCGUCUGGAGUAGUAUGUACAGGCGUACGCGUAUAUAUUUGCGCUUCCCCGGACCGGCCUGCCAGUGCCAAAAGUCAACCCCAUCCCGCGCCGGCCACCACCACGCGUCCGUCCUACCUAGCUCACUUCGUCAAAGCUCUCCAAGCUCAAAUCCCUGGUCGCCGUUCAUGUGCGGCCUGCUUCUGCGCAUGGAGCACCUCAACGACUGGGACCUGCAGGCCGUCGUCAGGAGCUGCGCCACCUUCUCCUCCCGCCACCCCCAGGACCGCGCCGGUCCUCCUCCGGGGACCGCCGCGGCGCCGGUGGCGGAGACGACGGUCAAGCGGGAGCCGCGCGACGUGGCCCGGCCAGCAGCGGCGGCCAAGGACGCGUCGUCGCUGUACGGCCUGGAGUACCUGGACUUGGAUCACAAGCCCUUCUUGCUGUCGGCGCCGUCGUCGCAGUCGUGGGCGGCGGUGGAUGACCGCCACGAGAUGAUGAUCUCUUUCCCCGCGGCGGCGUCCACGUCCGGCGUGCGGCCGCGGGUGCCGCCUGGCCGGAAGCCCGGCAUACGAAGCAGCACCCCACGCCCGAAAAGAAGGUACGUAUAUGCUCCUACCAAGUUGAUUUGUGCACCCGGCCCGAUCGCUUAUGCAGCGCGAUUUGGAUCGGAGAAGCUUGCAGCCUGCUGAUUGUGAUUUUGUUUGGUGGUGGUGGUGAUGGUGAGCAGCAAGAAGAGCCAGCUGAAGAAGGUGGUGUGCGAGGUGCCGGUGGCCGACGGCGGCGUCUCCUCCGACCUUUGGGCAUGGCGAAAGUACGGUCAAAAGCCCAUCAAAGGCUCGCCUUAUCCCCGGUAAUUAACUACUAUAACCACUUCCACCGGCCCGUUUCCACGCGUUACUGUCGUCUCGUCGAUGCACUAGCUACCCGGUGCACAGCCUCGAGUCCAGUCACUACCGCUACUACUUUCUGUUAAUACAUUCGCAAUAACUGAUUUCUCAUACGAUGAAGAUUUACACUGAUUUCAUCAAACCUUUGGUCAUUUGGAUAUACUCCUAAUUACGAACAGUAUAGUAGUAGUACAUAUGAGAUAUGACCUGGUGCUUAGAACUUGCUAGGAGUAGAUUUUAGCCGCGCACCUUGCCAAUUUGGCAUCAAGUUUUGGCCAACCACACACCACAUGUACUUUUGCAGUACAACACGCAUGCUCCGGAAGGCACUCAAGUACUCCUCCGUACCAGUACCUGUCUUAAUUACUAGUAGUAGAAGCACCGCUAGUCCUGGUCUGCAUACUCCUAAACUUUGUUAGCUUUGUGGUGACAGGGGAUACUACAAGUGUAGCAGCAUGAAGGGGUGCAUGGCCCGGAAACUGGUGGAGCGCAGCCCGGCCAAGCCCGGUGUGCUCGUCAUCACCUACAUGGCCGACCACUGCCACCCGGUGCCGACGCAGAUCAACGCGCUCGCCGGCACCACCCGCCACAAGACCACCCCUGCCGAGGGCCACGCGCCGACGACCACGACGUCGCCCAAGAGCCACGGCGAUGCCCACGAGGCGGUGAGGUGCGACGACGAAAGCAACGAGACGUCGUCCAUGGCUGUGGACGGCGCCACUGAGGACGCGGCGGGGGAUGACGGCGGCGAGUUCUGGCCGACGGAGCUGGACCUGGACGAGUUGUUGGCGCCCGUGGAUGGCGAUCUGGAUCAUGUCUUCGACGAGGACGACGCCCUGGGACGACGGCUCUCGCUAUAGCUGGAGAGGAAAUUUGUAGCUAUAACCUAUAGGCACCACCGAUUGACAACUUUUUUGCCCCUUUGUUCACCUAUUUGCGAAGGAGGGGUCACGCAGCAGGCAAGAAGCCAUGUAUAUGCGUUUGAUGUGUGUUUUGUGCUUGAUCCCUCUCAACAAAAUGAUGAAGAUUUCUUAUGUAGCUCCAGUCAACGGCUGCCUACUAACUACUAGUACAAUAGUAUUGAGUCUUGUAUACAUGUAAUUAUAGUUCAUCAAAGCCUUGACCACACCGAGCCAACAAGUGCUUGGCACCUGGUCGUUGGAUGUGCGUGAUACCUCUCGGCGGUUGCCUCCUCAACGCAUGGGCGCCUGGUCGAGCGCUAAUGCAAUGGUUUUCUCGGUAGAAAAAAAGGCAGCGCUCGUUAAACAGCUCAGAAGAAAGUAAAAAAAAAACUAAGCGCCCGAUGGCAGCCCUGGCAUCGACGCAGCCAGGAAGUGAGUCCUAGCGCCUGUCAUUAUAGUCCAUGCGAGCGGAUCUGAUGCGGCGCCCGGGAGAUGGCGAGGUGGAGGAAGAGGGCGCCGAGAAGGGUCGCUGUAAAGGAGGAGGAGGGCGCGGGGAGGAGGGCCGGUGCGGAUCUGGCCGGCGUAGGGCUGGGCAGCGGUCCGGCGGUGGUAGUGGCGCGGAUCUGGCGCGCUGCCGCCACGAGGGCCCGAGUUCCGCCCCGUGCUGCUCCUGGCCUGGCGCGGAGGUGGGCGCCGCAAAGGGCGGCGUCGGCACUGCACUGGGCGGCGAGUGGAGGGCGUCGAGGGCACUGAUGGGCCGCGCUGGAUCUGGGAGGGCUGCGCUUGCUGGAGCAGGGAGGCUCCAGCCGUGGUAGAUGCGGGAUGCGGGGCCCGAUCUGGCCUCUGCAUGCUCGCCGUGGGGAGGUGGACCAUGCCUUCAUGGCUUCAACAACAAGGUGCUGCGGCGGCGGUGUGAGACGACAUGGACGAGCUCCGUAGGGCUUGAGCGGAGGUGUGCGACGAUACAGACGAAAGUCCUGCACAACAAGAGCCGGUGCCGAUGGCGCCUGAGGGUGUCAUUUUCCCCCUUGGAGGCGCCACCAAGGUGUGUCGGCAUCUUCCUCGGGCUUGGUUGGUAGUGUCUCCGGGCGAAAGCCUAGGUCCGGUUGGAUCGGCGUGAUGACGGCGUCUCCAACGUCGUUCCUCUGUUGGGAGCAUCACGUUUUUGAGACACUGCUUGGAGGUUCUAUGUGGCGCUCCUCCGGUGCUCGCCGUUGUUUUUGGUGAAGCUCCACACGCAAUGUACGCCAUCGCUGAUAAGUCCAAGACGAAGCUUUUUCUGGGACCGACCGAGUUCCGUCAUCUGCCUGCACUCUGCUUCAAGGGUGGAUUGUGCGUUGAUAAAGAAAGUCUUAGUUGGAGCUGCUGCUGUCUUCGGAGGAUACCGGCGUUGGUCAAGUGACGCGGCGGUGACGCUUAGCCUAGGACAGGCCCCUUUUGCUUUGUAGUCGUGUUGGCUGUGGUGGGUAGCUCGGCAACUAAUAGGGAUGUCGUUUUCUUUUUCUUUGAUCUUCGGAUCUUCAUCAUGUUGUUCUUCCGCUGCUUUCUGCUAAAUCGAAUCAAGCCAGCAUUUUGCUGGAUCUUUAAAAAAAAUUAGCGCCCGCGUUGUACAUGCCCUAAGAACUCCACGGCGUUGUACAUGCCCUAAAAGCAUCUCCAGCCGCGUUCUCAACAGGCCCUUCUCAUGCGUUUUUGCCGUGCCGACGCCCAAAAUUCGGUCCAGUCGCACCCCCAGUAGCCCGUUUUUCGCCGGCUCGGGCCGAUACUGGUGCCGGCGGACUCGAGCCGAACCCGGCGCGCUGGGGGGCGCCUGGGGGCGCCGGCACAAGCGAAAAGGGGCGUGGGACCGCUCUGUUGGCGAGUCGAGAGCCUCUUCCCGCCGUUUCUUCUCGCUUUUCCCCCACUUCCCUCCCAUUCUCUCCAUUCCUCCCGCCAAUCUCCCUCCCGCUUGCCUCCCAGCCACCGCCAUGCCGCCGAAGAAGUACGUGAUCCUCCGCGCUUCGACCACCGCGACCGCCUCCGUCGCCUAGCCGAAGCAGAGGAAGCCGAGGGCGCCACCGUCCAAGCCACCGGGCAUGACAAACAACGAGUGGAGGGCGGAAGUUCAGCGACGGGAGGCUGUCACCGCCAAGAAGGCCCGUGACAACGCGGCACGUGCCGUUGCGGCUGCGGCAGACCAAGCCGAGGCCGAGGCGACUCGCGUGGGAAUGAUGAAUCCACCCAGCGGCCACGCCCAGUACGCACCCUGGAGCCAGCAAAGCGUCGGCUCUCCGUCCGGCUUCUCGUCGUCGCCGCAGCCAUGGGGAUGCACGCCGUCGCCGGGCUACGCCGACGGGGACGCGCAUGGUGGGUUCAACCCCAACGUCACCUUCCCCCAUGGACACCCGGCCCAGCGCAGGCCCUCGCCCGCCUUUGCCGGCGUGCAGUACCCUCCAUACAACUACUCACCGCCGGCUUACGCGUGCUCCCCGACACCCCCUCUCCGCCGUGGCGCGCUGUCCUUCUCACAAGCUUCCACGUCGCACCUCGGCGACACCGACGAGACCGACGCCGACAUGGACGACAUCAUCGCGGCAGGCUCGGUCGCGGCCGUCGCGUCCCCCGGGUUCGCUACCCCGGACGACACGGUGGACCUCAGCAGCGGCAUGGACGGCGAGCUCGACUACGGCGAGGAGGAGCCAGAGGAGGAGGAGCCGGCGACUGUUCCGGCGAGGAGGCGCAAGAAGAAGAAGGGGGCGGCCAGGACCGGCGAGCCGCGUAUCAAGUGGGCGUCCAAGGAGCAGGAAUGCCUCACCGAAGCGCGGAAAGUCGUCUGCCUCGACCCGACCACAGGCACGAACCAGAGCAUCGAGACAUACUGGCAGCGCAUCAAGGCCGAGUUCAACGAGCCCAAGCUCGUCGAUCCCUACUUCAAAGGCGUCUACAUGCAGCGUGGGGCGAAGGCAAUGGCGAACCAUUGGGGGCUCAUCCAGGCGGCGUGCAAAAAAUGGCAUGGGGUCGUCGAGGAGGUCGCGGCUCGCCCGGAGAGCGGCGCCAACGUUGAGGAUCACGUAUGGCACGCCGGUCUCCCGCUUCUCUUUGCCGUAUGCGCCCGCCAACUGUUUGUUCCUCCGCGCAGCUGGUGCGCAUGUUCGCCUUGUAUCGCCAGGGCAACAGCGAUCAAGAAUUCAAGUACCUCCACGUUUAACAAGUGCGAGAAGUGGGCGGAAGUCCGGCGCACCCUCGACAACGCCAAGUAGACCUACAAGCCGGACGCGCCGACGCCAGGCGCGUCAGAGGGGCGGCCGGACGGCAACAAAGGGGCCAAGAAGGGGAAACACGUCGACGCGGCUACCGCGCGAGUGCAGUAGUCCAUCGAGCAUUGCCUCGCCGACGCACAGGCCCGGGCCGUCCUGCGUGAAGAGAAGACCGAGGCGUGGUGGUCGGCGUUGAUGACGAGCAGCGCCGUCAAGCUCGACCUACUUCGGACCAACGUCGCCGCGAAGAAGAGGAACACCGACCUGGCUUUCCUGCUGGGCGGGGCGGACAUGCUCCAGAGCAACGACGAGGCGGUCAAGGUGUGGUACUUGGCGGAGCGUGGCCUCAUCCUGAACCAGCUGCCGUCGACGGCGCCGCCAUCUCCCACGCCCACGCCCACGCCUCCGCCAAGCCCGAGCGAUGAUGCCUCCACGACUCCCCGCAGUACAGAAGCCACACCGACGGCGCCCAGCACAGAAGAAGCUCCGACCCCGCCAAGCCCGCGCACGCCAACUCCGCCGACGCCGGAGGCCGACCUCGCCAUCUGAUGCACUGCACGCGCGUCUUUUCUUUUUGUACGCCGAACUUUUCAUUCGAUCCUCGAACUGUAGCCGCAUGAUCGCCGGAUUGAUGAAUGACUACGUUUGAAUUUGCCGCGGGUUGGAGGGCGGCGCCUGGGGGGCGUGGCUGGAAGCUAGGUCACCCCAAGGGCCGAUCUAGCGCCGGUUCACCCACAUGCCGCUCUUUUUCGGUGCGCUGGGGGGCUGAACCUCUGGAGAUGCUCUAAGAACUCCACCUUCCAUGCAACCAACUAAAGGUACUGCAGCUCACGAUGGUAGAAACACAUAUCAUAAUGUCUCGGUAAAUCGUGCUCCCCUACCACAACAGUGAUUCCGCUCUUUUCUUAUAUGAUUAACUGCUAACUUUCUGAGACAAUCACAUCAUCACAUAAAAUUUCACGAUCGAUGUGAUCAAUCUGAUCAAACAAAAAUAAAGUGUGAUGCGCAGAUUUCAGACAAAAAAUAGCACCGUUUCACAGAUGAUAGUUUUGGCACCAGUUACAACGACGUUUUGCACUUCCAUACCACAGAUGCACAGGUAUGGCUUACUCUAUUACCAACUGUAGCUCGCAAAACUAGGAUAAGUACUUAAAAGCUAACCUGCCACGCAAACAGCUUACAAAUACGGAAACAGAAUCAAGAGCAACACACAAUAAUCCGACCGACACUGAUUUGCAAGUCUGCAGCCAAGUUAACACUCACGACCCGACCAGGAUUUACAACAUGGAUGAUCUGGAUUCAUUAA
Molecule: long non-coding RNA, 33599 nt
Filed under: Triticum aestivum (bread wheat)
Lineage: Eukaryota; Viridiplantae; Streptophyta; Magnoliopsida; Poales; Poaceae
Description: long non-coding RNA (TAES_LNC000277)
Source: RNAcentral